CAACAGGGAUUGCCCUAGUAACGGCGAGUGAAGCGGCAACAGCUCAAAUUUGAAAUCUGGCUCUUUUAGAGUCCGAGUUGUAAUUUGCAGAGGGCGCUUUGGCUUUGGCAGCGGUCCAAGUUCCUUGGAACAGGACGUCACAGAGGGUGAGAAUCCCGUACGUGGUCGCUAGCUAUUGCCGUGUAAAGCCCCUUCGACGAGUCGAGUUGUUUGGGAAUGCAGCUCUAAAUGGGAGGUAAAUUUCUUCUAAAGCUAAAUAUUGGCCAGAGACCGAUAGCGCACAAGUAGAGUGAUCGAAAGAUGAAAAGCACUUUGGAAAGAGAGUCAAACAGCACGUGAAAUUGUUGAAAGGGAAGCGCUUGCAGCCAGACUUGCUUGCAGUUGCUCAUCCGGGCUUUUGCCCGGUGCACUCUUCUGCAGGCAGGCCAGCAUCAGUUUGGGCGGUGGGAUAAAGGUCUCUGUCAUGUACCUCUCUUCGGGGAGGCCUUAUAGGGGAGGCGACAUACCACCAGCCUAGACUGAGGUCCGCGCAUCUGCUAGGAUGCUGGCGUAAUGGCUGUAAGCGGCCCGUCUUGAAACACGGACCAAGGAGUCUAACAUCUAUGCGAGUGUUUGGGUGUCAAGCCCGAGCGCGUAAUGAAAGUGAACGGAGGUGGGAACCCGCAAGGGUGCACCAUCGACCGAUCCUGAAGUUUACGGAAGGAUUUGAGUAAGAGCAUGGCUGUUGGGACCCGAAAGAUGGUGAACUAUGCUUGAAUAGGGUGAAGCCAGAGGAAACUCUGGUGGAGGCUCGCAGCGGUUCUGACGUGCAAAUCGAUCGUCAAAUUUGGGCAUAGGGGCGAAAGACUAAU
RNAcentral lists this ribosomal RNA (851 nucleotides) under Exserohilum holmii. RNAcentral's name for it is "partial 28S ribosomal RNA". It matches the Rfam family "Eukaryotic large subunit ribosomal RNA", at positions 66 to 935 of the family's 3401-position model. The record is from RNAcentral. Lineage: Eukaryota; Fungi; Ascomycota; Dothideomycetes; Pleosporales; Pleosporaceae.